GGCCUGAAGCUCAUGCUAGCAAACUUGCAACUAUGUAUGAAAUAUUCUGGGCCCUGGACAGACAUCGCUAUAGGCUAUUUGCGCCAGGGAUAAGAAGUAAAUCAGGUAAGCUGACCUGCUGGAACCCAAUUAAAAGGCCUCAGGCGCUGGGCUGGCUGGGGAGAGAGAAAGGAGGGAUGCUGAAAGAGGAGAACAACAUGACAAGAACGGCAAGCCGAUGAACUCUGAGGACUGUGGCUAGCUAUUGUUGAGAACCUGAGCCCUAGGACCAUACGUCACGGCAAACCAGGC
Salvelinus namaycush (lake trout) is the source of this 291-nucleotide long non-coding RNA. RefSeq lists it as uncharacterized. The record is from RefSeq and is a predicted model, not a curated record. NCBI's taxonomy places the organism in Eukaryota, Metazoa, Chordata, Actinopteri, Salmoniformes, Salmonidae. The transcript is spliced from 3 exons.